UUCCGGUUGAUCCUGCCGGAGGCGACCGCUUUGGGAGUUCGAUUAAGCCAUGCGAGUCGUGAGUCUUAGGGACUCGGCAUACUGCUCAGUAACACGUGGAUAACCUGCCCUAUCGUCUGGAAUAACCUCGGGAAACUGAGAAUAAGGCCGGAUAGUUCACAAUGCCUGGAACGGUUUGUGAAUCAAGAUAGGAUGGGUCUGCGGCGUAUCAGGUUGUAGGGGGUGUAAAGGACCCCCUAGCCUUCGACGCGUACGGGUGUUGGGAGACAUAGCCCGGAGAUGGAUUCUGAGACACGAAUCCAGACCCUACGGGGUGCAGCAGGCGCGAAAACUUCACACUGCAGGCAACUGUGAUGAGGGAACUCCUAGUGCAUGCACUAUGUGUAUGUAGAUCCUACUCUUAACAAGUAGAGGGAAAGGGCUGGGAAAGACCGGUGCCAGCCGCCGCGAUAAUACCGGCAGCUCAAGUGGUCGUCGCUUUUAUUGGGCCUAAAACGUCCGUAGCCUGUUUGGUAAAUCUGUGGGUAAAUCAACGAGCUUAACUCGUUGAAUUCUGCGGAGACUGCCAGACUAGGGACCGGGAGAGGUAUGAGGUACUCUGGGGGUAGGGGUAAAAUCCUGUCAUCCUCAGAGGACCACCUGUUGCGAAGGCGUCAUACUGGAACGGAUCCGACGGUCAGGGACGAAGCCCAGGGGCACGAACCGGAUUAGAUACCCGGGUAGUCCUAGGUGUAAACGCUGUGGAUUUGGUGUGUGGGGUCCGCAAUGGGCCCCAUGUGCCGGAGUGAAGAUGUUAAAUCCACUGCCUGGGGAGUACGGUCGCAAGGCUGAAACUUAAAGGAAUUGGCGGGGCAGCAC
This 858-nucleotide ribosomal RNA is filed under the name uncultured euryarchaeote. Its description in RNAcentral is "bacterial SSU rRNA". It matches the Rfam family "Archaeal small subunit ribosomal RNA", at positions 1 to 879 of the family's 1478-position model. The record is from RNAcentral. Lineage: Archaea; Methanobacteriati; Methanobacteriota.